RNAcentral lists this small RNA (945 nucleotides) under Malus domestica (apple). RNAcentral describes it as "sRNA MD12G0192800". Lineage: Eukaryota; Viridiplantae; Streptophyta; Magnoliopsida; Rosales; Rosaceae. The record is from RNAcentral.
GCGUAUUGACUUCCAAUAAAGGACGCGUAAUGACUUCCAAUAAGCUCAAUGGAUUGCCGCUGCCGGGCCCGCCGAAAGCUUCAUUGGGUCGGCCGUUCCGAGAAGCUACCAGAAAUGUUCUAAAAGACGCUCUAGCGGCCGCCUAGACGGCGGUGCUCCGCCCCGAUUAACCCAAAAUCGUUUACUAAAUCGGUAAAGUUAUUAGGCGGCGUAAGGCGGACUCCUGGGAGGCCUAAACGGACGCUGGGCGGGCUAGAAGGAAGCUAGAUGGUCUGGGCGGCCUGGGAAAAUACGACUGGUCUAGCAAGAAGCAGGCGGACGCUGGCCAAUCUGGGUGCUCUGCGCCUCACCGUCUUCUCUCCCCAAGCAAAGUCCACCUUUUCUUGCACAAGGAUAUCGACUACCUUUUGGCUGAAACCACACUUGGGUUCAUCUGGUUUUCCCUUCAUAACAGCACAACAGGGCUUUUAUUAAUCAGGCUUUCGAGUCGAGAGUUAAGAGUAUCACUCACACCAGUAGAUGCUGAGAUUCCACCCUUUCCGCUUCCAGCAUCAGUUACUUUUGCGGCGCGCCGUCUCCCUCUCGGUGUGACGAUGGUUUACCAGACGAGAGAGAGUAUGGAUCUGCAAUUGCGGAUGUGAUGAUAUGGCUGACGGCAACAAUGGUUUUUGCAGUGAGCAGCUUAGGGUUUUAUUGUGAAAAAGGUGAGUCGGUGAAUGCAUUGAUUGGGAAUCGGGAGGCUGUAGGAAAUAUAAGAUGACAAAUGGAUAAGAUGGCUUUGGGUUUGGUUAGGGUCCAUUGCGCCCAUCUAUAAUGUACUGGACAAUUCUAUUCAAUGGUGAAACAAGGAAUACAAGGUCCAAACCUUACAUUUUAUUAAUGAAAAAGGCCCAAAAAAAUUUAUAGGCUUAGAAAAUAAUACAAAAGGUUAAAAAAUAACAUAUU